This 253-nucleotide ribosomal RNA is filed under the name uncultured bacterium. Its description in RNAcentral is "partial 16S ribosomal RNA". It matches the Rfam family "Bacterial small subunit ribosomal RNA", at positions 524 to 776 of the family's 1533-position model. The record is from RNAcentral.
UACGUAGGGUGCGAGCGUUGUCCGGAAUUAUUGGGCGUAAAGAGCUCGUAGGCGGUCUGUCGCGUCGAAUGUGAAAACCCGGGGCUCAACUCCGGGCUUGCAUUCGAUACGGGCAGGCUAGAGUUCGGUAGGGGAGUCUGGAAUUCCUGGUGUAGCGGUGAAAUGCGCAGAUAUCAGGAGGAACACCGGUGGCGAAGGCGGCGAUCUGGGUCGAUACUGACGCUGAGGUGCGAAAGCGUGGGGAGCAAACAGG